GGUCGGGUGGCAACUCGAAGAGAGCCCGCUAACCCCGCCAGGUUCGGAAGGAAGCAACGGUACGUGGAUACUCCUGUUGACGUCGCUUUUCCUGACCACC
RNAcentral lists this signal recognition particle RNA (100 nucleotides) under Deltaproteobacteria bacterium. RNAcentral's name for it is "signal recognition particle sRNA small type". It matches the Rfam family "Bacterial small signal recognition particle RNA". Rfam says of the family: The signal recognition particle (SRP) is a universally conserved ribonucleoprotein involved in the co-translational targeting of proteins to membranes. Archaeal SRP consists of a 7S RNA and homologues of the eukaryotic SRP19 and SRP54 proteins. In most bacteria, the SRP consists of a 4.5S RNA and the Ffh protein (a homologue of the eukaryotic SRP54 protein). Lineage: Bacteria; Pseudomonadati; Myxococcota; Myxococcia. The record is from RNAcentral.